This 1025-nucleotide long non-coding RNA is filed under the name Homo sapiens (human). RNAcentral's name for it is "long non-coding RNA NONHSAT159814.1". The record is from RNAcentral. Lineage: Eukaryota; Metazoa; Chordata; Mammalia; Primates; Hominidae.
GAAAGCACCAGCCAGGCACCAUGACCAAUGAACCUCUUCCCAGGUCCUUUCAAUCUCCUUCCACUUCCACCUGUGGACUGGCCACCUGGCAGCUCUGUCCUGAAAAUUCAGCUGGAGAACGCCUGCUCCAAGCCGGACGACGACAUUCUAGACAUCCCGCUGGACGAUCCCGGCGCCAACGCGGCCGCCGCCAAAAUCCAGAACUGAGCAUUUUCAAAGUUCCCGAGGAGAGAUGGAUGCCGCGUCCCCUUCGCAGCGACGAGACUUCCCUGCCGUGUUUGUGACCCCCUCCUGCCCAGCAACCUGCCAGCUACAGGAGCCCCCUGCGUCCCAGAGACUCCCUCACCCAGGCAGGCUCCGUCGCGGAGUCGCUGAGUCCGUGCCCUUUUAGUUAGUUCUGCAGUCUAGUAUGGUCCCCAUUUGCCCUUCCACUCCACCCCACCCUAAACCAUGCGCUCCCAAUCUUCCUUCUUUUGCUUCUCGCCCACCUCUUCCCGCACCCAGCAUGCAGCUCUGCCUCCGCAGCCUCAGUGCGCUUUCCUGCGCGCACUGCGGAGGGCGCCCUAAGCGUCACCCAAGCACACUCACUUAAAGAAAAAACGAGUUCUUUCGUUCUGUGCGCAGCUAAAAGGGGCGCCCUACAUCUCCGUGCCACUCCCGCCCCAGCCUAGCCCCAAGACUUUGGAUCCGGGGCGAGAUGAAGGGAAGAGGGUUGUUUUGGUUUCGGACGACCCUUGCUCUGACCGGAAGAGAAGUCCCUAUCCCACACCUGCCUGUCACGUUCCCUCCCCUUUCCCCAGCGCACUGUUGAGGGCAGCCUCUCCAGCUCUCUUGUUUAUGCAAACGCCGAGCGCCUGGGAGGCUCGGUAGGAGGAGUCUUCCACGGCCCCGCCCCGCCCCUGUCGGUCCCGCCCUCCCCCCCGCCGGGCUCCUGGGGCUGUGGCCGAAAGGUUUCUGAUCUCCGUGUGUGCAUGUGACUGUGCUGGGUUGGAAUGUGAACAAUAAAGAGGAAUGUCCAAGUGUUC